Molecule: ribosomal RNA, 771 nt
Filed under: uncultured bacterium
Lineage: Bacteria
Description: bacterial SSU rRNA
Rfam family: Bacterial small subunit ribosomal RNA
Source: RNAcentral
AGAGUUUGAUCAUGGCUCAGGACGAACGCUGGCGGCGUGCUUAACACAUGCAAGUCGAACGGAAAGACCCUUCGGGGUACUCGAGUGGCGAACGGGUGAGUAACACGUGGGUGAUCUGCCCUGCACUUUGGGAUAAGCCUGGGAAACUGGGUCUAAUACCGAAUAGGACCACGCGCUUCAUGGUGUGUGGUGGAAAGCUUUUGCGGUGUGGGAUGGGCCCGCGGCCUAUCAGCUUGUUGGUGGGGUAAUGGCCUACCAAGGCGACGACGGGUAGCCGGCCUGAGAGGGUGACCGGCCACACUGGGACUGAGAUACGGCCCAGACUCCUACGGGAGGCAGCAGUGGGGAAUAUUGCACAAUGGGCGCAAGCCUGAUGCAGCGACGCCGCGUGAGGGAUGACGGCCUUCGGGUUGUAAACCUCUUUCACCAGGGACGAAGCGCAAGUGACGGUACCUGGAGAAGAAGCACCGGCCAACUACGUGCCAGCAGCCGCGGUAAUACGUAGGGUGCGAGCGUUGUCCGGAAUUACUGGGCGUAAAGAGCUCGUAGGUGGUUUGUCGCGUUGUUCGUGAAAACUCACAGCUUAACUGUGGGCGUGCGGGCGAUACGGGCAGACUAGAGUACUGCAGGGGAGACUGGAAUUCCUGGUGUAGCGGUGGAAUGCGCAGAUAUCAGGAGGAACACCGGUGGCGAAGGUGGGUCUCUGGGCAGUAACUGACGCUGAGGAGCGAAAGCGUGGGGAGCGAACAGGAUUAGAUACCCUGGUAGUCC